UAACCGGCGAUUUCCGAAUGGGGAAACCCAGUGUGUUUCGACACACUAUCAUUAACUGAAUCCAUAGGUUAAUGAGGCGAACCGGGGGAACUGAAACAUCUAAGUACCCCGAGGAAAAGAAAUCAACCGAGAUUCCCCCAGUAGCGGCGAGCGAACGGGGAGCAGCCCAGAGCCUGAAUCAGUGUGUGUGUUAGUGGAAGCGUCUGGAAAGGCGCGCGAUACAGGGUGACAGCCCCGUACACAAAAAUGCACAUGCUGUGAGCUCGAUGAGUAGGGCGGGACACGUGGUAUCCUGUCUGAAUAUGGGGGGACCAUCCUCCAAGGCUAAAUACUCCUGACUGACCGAUAGUGAACCAGUACCGUGAGGGAAAGGCGAAAAGAACCCCGGCGAGGGGAGUGAAAAAGAACCUGAAACCGUGUACGUACAAGCAGUGGGAGCACAGAGCAAUCUGUGUGACUGCGUACCUUUUGUAUAAUGGGUCAGCGACUUAUAUUCUGUAGCAA
This 504-nucleotide ribosomal RNA is filed under the name Escherichia coli. RNAcentral's name for it is "partial 23S ribosomal RNA". It matches the Rfam family "Bacterial large subunit ribosomal RNA", at positions 101 to 643 of the family's 2925-position model. The record is from RNAcentral. Lineage: Bacteria; Pseudomonadati; Pseudomonadota; Gammaproteobacteria; Enterobacterales; Enterobacteriaceae.